CAAUAGUGAUGUUUCAUGUGUAUAAACAUGAAAAUUUAUUUUAACUGCAAAAUUCUAUUUUUUAAUAUUUUCUACACAUAUUAUCUAUUUAGUGUGAAAUACGACACUUAAAAAGGACAUACAUGUAGGGAUCAUAUAAGGACCAUAAUCAUAAGAUUAUAAGAACAUAGACAUGGAAUAAUCUCAGUUACAAAAGUUCUUGUCUAGUAUCUGGAGUAAAUCCAUUUACAAAGUAUGAGAUUCUUUUGAGCAAGUGUUUAUUAUUAUUAUCUUUGCCAUCAAAAUCUUGUAUAAUGUUAUGGAAUCAUCAACAUUUACUACUUCAGAUUUUCUACUAUGUGUUUCAAAAGCGCAAUUCUUAUUCUUACAACAUAUCUGGUUCAAUUAGAAGAUUGCAAUGUAAUUGUGCAUGGAUAUUUCAUUCUUCGAUAUAGAUAUAUGGUAUGCAAUUAUGCAAAUCACUUACACGGGUUCCUAUUUUGAUUCUUGAUGGGAUGUGUUUCAUUUAUACAUGUCUCUAAUACAUAGCGAAUGAUAGAUAAAUGAAUGAUGAUCCUUGUGCUACAUAAUAUGCAUAUAUAUUUGGAACUGUAUUAUAUUUUUGUUACAGUAUUGCAUUUUUAUUGUAUUAUUACAUUUGAAGCGGGAAUUUGGACAAAGAUCAGAUACUAAGCAGAGAUUUUGAAAAACUGAAUCUCAGCAGUAGGAAAAUG
Molecule: long non-coding RNA, 713 nt
Organism: Formica exsecta
Lineage: Eukaryota; Metazoa; Arthropoda; Insecta; Hymenoptera; Formicidae
Exons: 3
Source: RefSeq, a predicted model, not a curated record